Molecule: ribosomal RNA, 667 nt
Filed under: uncultured bacterium
Lineage: Bacteria
Description: partial 16S ribosomal RNA
Source: RNAcentral
GCACCUUCCGAUACGGCUACCUUGUUACGACUUUACCCCAGUCAUGAACCCUGCCGUGGCAGUCGCCCUCCUUGCGGUUAGGCUAACGGCUUCUGGCAAAACCCACUCCCAUGGUAUGACGGGCGGUGUGUACAAGACCCGGGAACGUAUUCACCGCGACAUUCUGAUCCGCGAUUACUAGCGAUUCCAGCUUCACGUAGUCGAGUUGCAGACUACGAUCCGGACUACGAUGCAUUUUCUGAGAUUAGCUCCCCCUCGCGGGUUGGCAACCCUCUGUAUGCACCAUUGUAUGACGUGUGAAGCCCUACCCAUAAGGGCCAUGAGGACUUGACGUCAUCCCCACCUUCCUCCGGUUUGUCACCGGCAGUCUCUUUAGAGUGCUCUUGCGUAGCAACUAAAGACAAGGGUUGCGCUCGUUGCGGGACUUAACCCAACAUCUCACGACACGAGCUGACGACAGCCAUGCAGCACCUGUGUUCACUUUCCCUUACGGGCACCUAAUGUAUCUCUACUUCGUUAGUGACAUGUCAAGGGUAGGUAAGGUUUUUCGCGUUGCAUCGAAUUAAUCCACAUCAUCCACCGCUUGUGCGGGUCCCCGUCAAUUCCUUUGAGUUUUAAUCUUGCGACCGUACUCCCCAGGCGGCUGACUUCACGCGUUAGCUACGUA